RNAcentral lists this ribosomal RNA (487 nucleotides) under uncultured bacterium. Its description in RNAcentral is "bacterial SSU rRNA". It matches the Rfam family "Bacterial small subunit ribosomal RNA", at positions 30 to 510 of the family's 1533-position model. The record is from RNAcentral.
AUUGAACGCUGGCGGCGUGCUUAACACAUGCAAGUCGAGCGGCAGCGCGGGAGCAAUCCUGGCGGCGAGCGGCGAACGGGUGAGUAAUGCUUCGGAAUCUGCCCUUCAGUGGGGAAUAACCAGUCGAAAGACUGGCUAAUACCGCAUACGAACUGAGGUUGAAAGCAGGGGAUCGCAAGACCUUGCGCUGAUGGAUGAGCCGAAGUCGGAUUAGCUUGUUGGUGGGGUAAUGGCCUACCAAGGCGACGAUCCGUAGCUGGUCUGAGAGGACGACCAGCCACACUGGGACUGAGACACGGCCCAGACUCCUACGGGAGGCAGCAGUGGGGAAUAUUGGACAAUGGGGGCAACCCUGAUCCAGCGACGCCGCGUGUGUGAAGAAGGCCUGCGGGUUGUAAAGCACUUUUAGUGGGGAGGAAGGUCUGCGACCUAACACGUCGUGGAAUUGACUUAACCCACAGAAAAAGCACCGGCUAACUCUGUGCCA